Molecule: long non-coding RNA, 1937 nt
Organism: Balaenoptera ricei (Rice's whale)
Lineage: Eukaryota; Metazoa; Chordata; Mammalia; Artiodactyla; Balaenopteridae
Exons: 6
Source: RefSeq, a predicted model, not a curated record
GGAGGGUGGGAGGGGCUCGGCGCAGAGAGCGGGGCCAGGCCCCACCCUGGUCUGAGGUGGCGGGGCUCAGGCGGGGGAUCGGGGCGCAGGGCCUGCCUCUCCCCGGGACUCGGAGCUGGCUGCGCUCCGUCUCUCGCCCUCGCGCUGGCCUCUGCCCGCGCUCGGCUCCUUUCUCGCCGCGAGGGUGGGCCGGCGCCUGCAUCACCGUGACAUCACCUCCAUUCAGGGGCUUAUCGGGCGCCCGCGGCGCUCCAGGUCCUGGGCAGCCCAGGAGGAAUGGAUAGAACUUGUUCCCAGCACAUGAAGAAUUUCCGGUGAGCUGCUGUCACUUACUAACCAAAUGACUGCGGAGCCUGAGGGACAGGAGCUGCAGGCCUCCCUGCUGGGGCCCCUCGUUGCAGAAGGACGCUUUGUGCAGAUUUCUCCUCCUUCCCGCCCAGGAGCUGGCAUCUCAGACCCAUCUCAGAUUCGACCUUGCUCUCUACUCCUGUUGGUGACUCUGGCUGCAGAGAGAGGAGGGGACAAGCCUGGAGGAGAGAGGCCAGGGGACCCACUGCUGGAAGCCUGGAGAGGUGACAGAGGCCUGUGGACCACGGCUCCCUUCUCUCCAUCAGCACCAAUAAUCCACAACUGAGUCUGUAAUGAAAUCUGCGUGCCCUUUGCCAGAUCUGAUUUGGCACCAAGCAGCUCCUCUGCCGAAGGAGAGCUUUUCAGGGACCAAGUCCUCUGUGGGAUGCCUUUCUGGAGACAAGAAAGAAGAGAGAAAGCUGAAGUUGGCAGAGCCACUGAGAUGUCUAAAGGCGGCUGCUUGGAGGGCCCCGCCCACUCCCUUUCUCCUGCAGCGAGUUGUGUCCACCCGGAAGUCAGAAGGGCCGUGAUGUGGGGUCACGAGGGGUCAGUCACCUCCCCGGCCUGGGCUCAGACUCCCGAGGCACAACCUUGUGUGCAGUGAGCCAGGUUCCUGGAUGCUCCCCAGGCUGUGGGAUUCAGAAGGUCUUUAUCAGGGCACCUCCCUGACGGUCCAGUGGUUAAGACUCCGCGCUGCCAACUCAGGAAUGCCGUCGGCGGGAUCCUUCUAGAACUUGAUCCUAAGAACCUUCAGAAGCUCAGCCUGCAUACAAAGAGCGGCCUCCACGCCGGCACCAACCCACCUUUCCAGCUUCAUCUCCCACUGCCGACAGCCCCCUCCCCCCCCCCCCCACCAGUCUCCGGCUGCACCAAACUAUUAAUACUCCCUGUUCUUACCUGUCUCCAAGAGUGAGAGUAAAGAGAUGUGUGCUCGUGUGUGUCUGGACGUGCAGACUAUGCGCUGUACGUCCCUUCUGGACCUGGGCUCCACGCUAACUCAAGUGUCUCCCUGAGCCUUGCACAAUUGUUAGAUGUACGGGACGCAGAGGUAAACGGGCCUUGAUCCGAGUCCUGCCUCCCCCACUAACCAGGUAUGUUCUUUAGGCCAAUUGCUUUAACUCUUUGACCCUCAGUAUGUCCAUCUAGAAAAUGGAUGCAAUAAUUCCUGCCUCUGAAACAGGAGGGAAAGGGGCAGGGUAUAACCUUCGAAAGAAUGACAGAGUCUGAGGACACGACAUAAACUGAUUAGAACCAAAUAGGUCCAAGAUGGCAGAGGAGUCGUCUUCCACUAGACCUUGAGCCUCAGUAUACACUCAUUGUAACGCUUCAGCUAAAUGACACACCCGUAGGUGCCAUGACAGUUCCAAGGUCAACCAUCAAGGUCAAAAAGUAAGUGGUGGUCCAAUUCCUGGAAAUCCCACCCCUUCCCCAAAAUAGCUGGAAUACUCCUCCUACUCAUUAGCCUAUGAAAUUACCCACCCCUAUAAAAACUGACAACCCCAGACCCUGGGGCCGCUCUUGCCUUCUGAGAUGGCCCACCCUGUCUGUGGAGUGUGUGUUUCUUUCUAAAUAAAUCCACUUCUUACCUA